This 171-nucleotide ribosomal RNA is filed under the name Salmonella enterica subsp. enterica serovar Schwarzengrund. RNAcentral's name for it is "partial 23S ribosomal RNA". It matches the Rfam family "Bacterial large subunit ribosomal RNA", at positions 1 to 163 of the family's 2925-position model. The record is from RNAcentral. Lineage: Bacteria; Pseudomonadati; Pseudomonadota; Gammaproteobacteria; Enterobacterales; Enterobacteriaceae.
GGGUUGUGAGGUUAAGCGACUAAGCGUACACGGUGGAUGCCCUGGCAGUCAGAGGCGAUGAAGGGCGUGCUAAUCUGCGAUAAGCGCCGGUAAGGUGAUAUGAACCGUUAUAACCGGCGAUUUCCGAAUGGGGAAACCCAGUGUGACUCGUCACACUAUCAUUAACUGAAU